AUCCUUUUGCCCGUUAGGACCUGAAGGAGAGUAGGGGUGGACAUGGCUGCUCACACUUGUCUUCUCUAAGGGCUCCAGUCUCUGAAGGGCAUCUAGGAGGCCAGCUUCCUCAGGAUCCAGUACCCUCCUCCCACUCCAUUCCCGAAGGCACUCUGAGAGUGCAGGCUUAGUUACUCCUUCUAAACUACUUUGCUAGCCCAGUCAUAUGGCUCUCCCAAAUAUCUAAGGAUCCUGUGUUCCAGGAAAAACCCAGUCCUUUCUAAAUCCCCAUAGACCCUUCCAUCCCACCCCGCUCCCAAUAAAUAUCCAACUCUCCGACUUCCUCCAACCUCAAAAUCCAGCAUGCCCUAAAUAACAGUUCCCAGUCCUUCCAGAUCCUCUCUGGAAGGUACCUAGUCCCUAGCCUCCCUCAAUCCCCCCUCUGCUUCCCUCAAUCCCAGAUACAAUCCCAGAUAACUCCAUACAUUACCGAACCCCUUCGUAUCCCCAAUCUACACACACACACACACACACACACACACACACACUGCCCCAAGCCAAACCCACCACGCCAGUCUCAGCACUCCCUCAACAACCCUCCUUGGGGACCUUGCUGCACCUUCCCGGAGUACACUGGAACCACAGGCGCCUCUCCGGGAUCCAGCAGCCGCCGCCGCCGUCGGACCAAUGUACGCGGGGCUCCCGCAGCCUCGGCCGCCCCUUCACUGUCACUGUCGCUGUCCUGCUCAGCUGCGGCCGGCGCGGGGAGGCGGGCGACCGGCACCUCUAUUGGGUCCGCGACGACUUCCAGGACCCCUUCGUCGCUGUCGCUGUCACUGACCAAGUCCACAAGCACGGUGUCUGGAAUGAGUCUAGUCGAAGACUGCGGGGCGCGAGGACACCGGCCACGGGCGGGUCGGGCUCUCCGAGCGCCUCGGCCGGCUCGGCCACCGCGGGACCUCGGACCACGUCUCCUCAGGGGUUCCGCCAUCUCCCACACAGCUUCCACAAACACCGGCCUCUACACAGGCACCGGUCCCCAACAUCAGCGUCUGUACCUUUCAUUGGACGAACAGCCUGCCGGUCAUCACCUCUUCCCGCCCACACGCUCUGGAUCCGCCUGUCCACGUUCUCAUUGGUCACUUUUUCUGUCUAUCACCUACCCUCCACUAAAACAAAGGCGCCAAAGAUUCCAAUCCCUUUGGUACAAUCAAAAAAGGUUUCGAUUCUGUACAGUUCACCCAUUGGCUGAAUUUCCUCCUGACCCAGCCUUCCCCAGGACACACCCAUUGGAGAAAUCCACUUUCCUGGUUGGUGAAAGACUGGCGCAUCCUGGGAAUUGUAGUCCUCUUACUCGGAAAAGCCACAGGAAAAGCUUUGUGGGAAGAACAUUAGAAGCUGAAGCUUUGUGGGACGAACAUUAGAAGCUGAAGACCUUGGGCUAUGUAUUCCUUUUGUGUCUCCAACCUCUGUGUGGUAGGAGUUCCAUUCCACACUAAACACUUUCAUGCAUGUCACCUUGGAAAAGCUCUACAAACACAAUAUCAGCACAACAUAUAUCAUAGCACAGUACAACUCAGAAACACUUUUUAAGACAUUUACAAAUUAAAAUAAGAGGCUUUCUUCUCCCUGCUGCAAAGAAAA
Long non-coding RNA from Mastomys coucha (southern multimammate mouse), 1623 nucleotides. RefSeq lists it as uncharacterized. The record is from RefSeq and is a predicted model, not a curated record. Lineage: Eukaryota; Metazoa; Chordata; Mammalia; Rodentia; Muridae. The transcript is spliced from 2 exons.